This is a non-coding RNA of Eubacterium sp. CAG:192, 185 nucleotides long. The record is from Rfam. NCBI's taxonomy places the organism in Bacteria, Bacillati, Bacillota, Clostridia, Eubacteriales, Eubacteriaceae.
AAAUAUAGUAGAGGUUGCACCGGUUAUUAGUAGUACAUAGGAUGUCCCGGAGACAGAAGAUUGUGUACAAAAGGAAGUGGUGCCGAAGGGUGGAUAUCCGGAAUAUUUACUCUGGGCGUAUGGUUAAUAGUCAUAUGACUGUCAUCAAUUGAUGAAGAGCUAAUUGAUGGAGGGCUACUUAUAAG